UUUUUUUUUUUUUUCAAAACGGGAGAAAACCUAAUAGGGCCACUGUGAAGCUUAAAAGGGGUCAAUAUACAGAAAGCACUUGGAUCUGUGCUUGGCAUUCAAGAAAUGUUAGAUAUUAUCAUUAAUUGUUUUAUUUCUACUAAAGAGAAGCUGAUGGCUUUCUACCAGAUUUCUCCACUAGGUAGGAAUAAUCUCUCUUGGCAAGCCUAAAUGUCAGCAAAACUACUCAUGAAAGCACUGGAGUCAACAAGGAGAAUAAGCAUCAACGUCCUGGACAGGCUGUGUACCACACAAACCUGAAAGCCCCCAAAUUGUUUCUUUUAGUGUACCACAAAUAUUAGAGUCAAAAGUUUUAAAAUUUUGCUAAGCCAGUUCCUGCUACAUUCAAAAUAUGGUAAUACAAGAUGGUUUGGUGAGCUAUCAAGUCAUGGGUUGUAUAAAUACUAGUUUACAACAAAAAUGAAUACAAAAGUGGUAUGGCUCUUGCUGGUUUUAUUAAAUUAUAUUUGAGGCCUUUUAUUUUUCUAGCUGCAAAUAACAGAGAGAAGAGUCCACUUGAGAACAAGAAUCAAAUUUAAAUUAUACAUUUCAGCAUAACUUGGAAACCCUAGUUUAGCCUCUUUCUAUACAUAUGACCAAACAUAGUAUAGUUUAUAAUUUAAUAUCCAAACAUCACUAGCAAGCAAGGUUCCAAUCCCAGCUUUACCACUAUUAGCUGUAUGGCCCAAAAUAUUUCAUCUCUGUAUAAAAGAAAGGGAUAUUGAUACUAAUCUCAUAGAACCAAAAGAAAAGAUUAAAUGAGAAAAAUGUUAACAAUAAACACUAGUUAUAACUAUUAAUAAAUAACACAAGAAAAUGUCAUUUACUCAAGCUCUGAGACACACACACAUGAUUACAAUUAAAAAGAGAAUCUGAGCCAAGAAGUAAGAAAAUAAUUUUAAAUUCUUUCUAUACAGUGGAAAACAUAUUUUGACACUUGGGAGAAUAUGAAGAUAAAUAAAAUGCUAUAUUGCCAAAAUAAAGAAGUCUGAGAAAGAGUCAUAGACAUUAGUAAAUAACAUAAAGAAAUCUAGAAGGAAGUAACUUUUCUCAUUCAGUACCAAAGGCAAAGGCUUUAGCCAUGAGGAUGUAUGACAGAAUAACUCACCGAACCAGAAUAGGCUCUGAGAUACCAUAAUUUAAAGUGAUUAUAAUAUCAUAAAUUAGGUAAACUAAUACUUGGAAUAACCAAGUCAAAAGAGAAUAUCAUAAAUUUAUUCUAGAGUUUUACUAUUAACAUACUUUAUGAUCUUUAUGUAUAUCACAAUAAAAAAUGUAAAAAUAAUGCCAUAUAAAGGAUGUGAAUAAUCUACACAUCAAGAAACACAUAUUUAUUCUUUCAUUCAAUAGGUAUCUACUAUGUUGUUAAUAUUCAGUAAUACUGGUAAUCAAAAAAGUAGAGAAAAACAAAAGAAUACCACACUUAGUCUAUUAAAGUAGCAAUUAUAAAAUAAUUCCCAAAGCUGACAAGAAUACAGUUAAAGAAACACUCAUAUACAGCUUUGUGUAAGUGUAAAUGGCACACGUUUUCUGGAGGGUAAGGAAAGUACACCAAAAGCUUUGAAAGUAUUUAUGUCCUCUUUCCCAUUUUCCUCACCACAGAUGUACACAAUGACAAAUACUAACAGGUCUUCAUACACAUAGUAAAACACUACUGAUGAUCUCAAUUUCUUUUUUUUUUUAUCUCAAUUUCUAACAAUAAGCAAUUACUUAAAUAAUUUGUAAUAGAGACGCCUGAGUGGCUCACGUGGUUGAGAGCUUGCCUUCAGCUUGGGUCAUGAUCCCAAGGUCCUAGAAUCGAGUCCCACACUGGGUUCCUGCAUAGGCAGAAGCCUGCUUCUCCAUCUCCUUCCCACUUCUGUUCUCUCUCAUUCUCUCUCUCUCUUUCUCUCUCAAAUAAACAAAUCAGAUCUGUAAAUAAAUUGUAAUAUCACCAUAUGAAAUAACACAGACCACUCAUCUCAUUUCUGAACAUGGUUUAAUGGCAUGAAAAAAUGGUUGUAUUAGAUCACUAAACUUAAGACUAUAGGGAUCCCUGGGUGGCGCAGCGGUUUGGCGCCUGCCUUUGGCCCAGGGCGCGAUACUGGAGACCCGGGAUCGAAUCCCACGUCGGGCUCCCGGUGCAUGGAGCCUGCUUCUCCCUCUGCCUAUGUCUCUGCCUCUCUCUCUCUCUGUGACUAUCAUAAAUUAAAAAAAAAAAAAAAAAAAAGACUAUAAAACACUAUGCACAACAUGACUACAAUUUUCUGAAAAAUAAAAACGGAAAAGCUAAACACAAGUUUAACAAUAGCUAUCUCUAUGUGAUGAUAGUUUUUAAAUUUUUUAUGUUAUGCUUUUCAUUAUUUUCCAAAUUUCCUAUGAUAAUCAUGGAUUAUUUUUAUAACCAAUGCAGUGGUCUUUGUGGUUUAUACCCAAAACACCUAUUCCACCUAAAUCAGUCAGAGGAAUCACACUUCCUCUGUCAAUGACUGUAUCCUGGCCACGGAGGAAAUACAAGGAGACACCUAGAACAGGAGCUUCCAGGAAAGGCUCCCUUCUCCCUUGCUCCUGAGAAGGAAAGUAAAAGAGGUGUUGCUUUCUUCUAAAUAUGGCUACAUCGGGAUCCCUGGGUGGCACAGCGGUUUGGCGCCUGCCUUUGGCCCAGGGCGCGAUCCCGGAGACCCGGGAUCGAAUCCCACGUCGGGCUCCCGGUGCAUGGAGCCUGCUUCUCCCUCUGCCUGUGUCUCUGCCUCUCUCUCUCUCUCUGUGACUAUCAUAAAUAAAUAAAAAUAAAAAAAAAAAACUCUCAGUGUUGUAAUAUUAUAAAUAAAUAAAUAAAUAAAUAAGGCUACAUCUAGAUAUAAUUCACUUAACUAUCAUUCAAUACACAUUUACCUGAAUGCCUACUAUGCAGUUCCUGAGCCAUCUCUCAAUAUGGAGAUAAUGGUUGCUAUUAUUUCCAGGAGUCUUAAUAUAGUAACUUCAGUAGCUACAUAAAAAAAUCGUAAUUAUCAUUGAU
RNAcentral lists this long non-coding RNA (3037 nucleotides) under Canis lupus familiaris (dog). Its description in RNAcentral is "lncRNA (ENSCAFG00845004116.1)". Lineage: Eukaryota; Metazoa; Chordata; Mammalia; Carnivora; Canidae. The record is from RNAcentral.